This is a small nucleolar RNA of Lolium rigidum, 122 nucleotides long. NCBI's taxonomy places the organism in Eukaryota, Viridiplantae, Streptophyta, Magnoliopsida, Poales, Poaceae. The record is from RefSeq and is a predicted model, not a curated record.
ACAAAUUCCGGAGGAUGAUUAUGUUCCUCGCGGUGGCCCGGACGCCACACACGAUUCUGUGGUGAUAUCCUGAUUGGUUGCGUUCUCGGUGCCAGCUUAUUGUGGAAACACAACAUAUAUUU